AUGAACGCUAGCGGCAGGCUUAACCCAUGCAAGUCGAGGGGCAGCGCGGGAUAGCAAUAUCCUGGCGGCGACCGGCGGAAGGGUGCGUAACGCGUGAGCGACAUGCCCGUUGCCCGGGGACAACCGGUGGAAACGCCGACUAAUCCCCGAUGGGAUAUUGUGCCGCAUGGCACGAUAUUGAAAGUUACGGCGGCGACGGAUUGGCUCGCGUCCGAUUAGCUGGUUGGCGGGGUAACGGCCCACCAAGGCUGCGAUCGGUAGGGGUUCUGAGAGGAAGGCCCCCCACAAUGGGACUGAGACACGGCCCAUACUCCUACGGGAGGCAGCAGUGAGGAAUAUUGGUCAAUGGGCGGAAGCCUGAACCAGCCAUGCCGCGUGCGGGAAGGAGGCCCUAUGGGCUGUGAACCGCUUUUGCCUGGGGGCAAUAAGGGCGUCGCGCACGUCCGAUGAGAGUACCAGGCGAAUAAGCAUCGGCUAACUCCGUG
RNAcentral lists this ribosomal RNA (485 nucleotides) under uncultured bacterium. RNAcentral describes it as "partial 16S ribosomal RNA". It matches the Rfam family "Bacterial small subunit ribosomal RNA", at positions 29 to 507 of the family's 1533-position model. The record is from RNAcentral.